This 5297-nucleotide long non-coding RNA is filed under the name Homo sapiens (human). RNAcentral describes it as "HSALNT0181626". The record is from RNAcentral. Lineage: Eukaryota; Metazoa; Chordata; Mammalia; Primates; Hominidae.
CGCAGACAUAACUUCAUGCAGCAACGACCCUUCCUUUCCCCUUAAUUAACCCCUCCUUCCUUCCCAAAGUGCUGGAUUUACCCCACCAGUUAUGUGGGCAGGUGUCUGGGGAUAUAGUCCAUUUCAAUCCUGGAGACACAGUGAACCCAUCCAGAUAAAAAUGUCUGAAGAGUAGCUGAUGGCAGUGGAGUGAGGGAGGAGCAGGAAGGCAUGGUGUCUGCAGCAUUUCCCUUAGUCGGGGGAAAUAAAACCCCCCUCUGCCAGUGUUCCAUUUCCUUGCAACCUCCCGCAGGCUGUUUCAUCUCAUAUUGUGUGAGCUCUGAGGGGGUGUCCAAUUUGAGGAACAAUAACUAUAAAGUCAUUUUCAGUGCCCUGCUGUGGCACAGUGUCUGACUGACCUGGCUAAACACUACGCUAGCUCUGCAGAGCUGCCGCUCACUGUGGGCCUUGCAUAUAGCCAUCCCCCCAGUCCCCCAAGUCCCCCCAGUCCCCAAUCCCAUGUCACUGGGGCCCAGACUCAAGUCCCUCAGAACCUUUAGUUGUGACUUGAGAAUUUCAUAGGAAGACCAGGGUGGGCUCACCCUGCACAAGUUACUAAGAGGGCCAGGCAGCGGGUGGUGGGACAAUCUGGGGUGGAUGGGAGAAGGUACUUAGAGAAGCCCCUUCUCAUAGCUUGAGUCUGGAGGCUGACUGUCCUACAGAAACCGAUGACUUUUUGCUAGGAACUUCAGGGUGGCAUUUAAAAACUCUGGAAAUUGGAAUCCCUUUUAAAAAGUCAUGCUGAAUAGUGUCACCUUCACAGAUCAAUUGGCCCAUCAGCUGGUCUUAAGAUAAAAUCGCCCCUCCCCGGGACAGAGUUCCUAGGAGGGUCUCUGCUCUUUGAAAGGACCACUCAGCCUUCCUUGGUCACUAUUCUCAUAAAGAAAUAUAUCUGUUUCAUCUUAUACUUUUCAAAGCACUCUCACAUCCAUUAGCCCAUUAAUUGAUUAAUUCAUUGUACACGUUUGUUGAACACACGAGGCACUUCAAAUCUUUUUAGAACAAGGCAGGAUCUAGAUAAAUAUAUGCAUACAUAUUGAAUAUCCACAAAGUGAAAUUUGCUCUGAUGGGCACUGCAGGGAGUGAGGAGGGUUUUAUAGAGAUAAAGGAAGCAUAGCCUACCAAGAGAGUCCCCUCUUCAGAUCUGUAAGUCAGAGGCACAUCUACUAUGCUGAUUUCCCAGCCGUGUAAACCAAGGGCCAGAGAGGUUAAAGGACUGCUUAUGGUCUCAAAAUGAGAGGUGGAUCUAGAAUGCACCUCCUGAUUCAAAUUGGAUAUGCUGUUUAUGCUUUCUCUCUUUUUUGCUUUCCAGAAAGUUCCAAGUUCUGAUCUCCCCUUCCCUACCUCUUUUCUUGACGUCUCUGGAACAAGCUAUCUGAAAGGAGAAAUAGUCACAUCACAAUUUUUUUUUUCUGGGCUCAUGUGAAUAUUGUUUCAGGGACAAGAAGAAAAAAAAAUUUGUCUUCUCUAUUUCCUUAAGAAGGUCAGCAAGAUGGAACAGUUGCAUUUCAUAUGCAGCCUCUCGAAGGACAUUCAUUUUCUCCAGCAGAGCCCCAGGGUGGACAAGGAGGGCCAGCUGUGUGCAGCGUCUGUUGUGUACAGCAUUCAGGACAAUGUCCUCUUGGAUCCCGAGCUCUCCACACAGACAGAGCAGAUAAAGGAAGGUCCCUCUCCUGGUCUUCCUUCCAGGGAGGCUGUUGCUGAGAGAGGUUAAGGGACCUCCCAGAGUCCUCCUCAGGUGGGAGCGGAAGGUUGGCAUUGCUGACCUCCCAUAAGCUUUUACCUGAACUUGGGCUCUGCCUGUCUUUGUUCUGAGGAAUGAGACUGCAAAGAAGCUCCCGAUCUGAAAAGGUGGCAUUUGCUAAGUUAGAAAAUGGAAGUACCACCCAGUCUGGGGGAUCCCAUAGGCACCCAAGAGUGCACCAAGCCACUAGGACCAAGCUCACCUGAGAGUCCCACCCUGCUCGGAAUAUGCAGACUUGGUGUCCUGUCGCUUUAAAGCACUCCAUGCCUGGAAAUGCCACGGCCCACAUGGAAUGGGCACAGCCAACAACUCUCCAAGGAGCCCCAGCAAUGAAUGAUGAGCAUCUCCCCUGAACCCAUCUCCCCAUGUCCGGUGUUUAAAGUGAAUUGAAAUGAAUAUCUGAUAAAUGAAUAAACCUGUAAAUGGAAUCAAAAACCUUAUGAACUUGAAGGAGAAAUAGGAGUCCCAGGUCUGUUAAGUCUAAAUUGAAUAAAUCUGAUCAACUGCCUGACAAUUUCUGCCAACAGCUUUUGAAGAGGAAGAAAAGGGGUGAGCAGAGAAAUUGGGUAGAGGAGAGGGAAGAGCGAGUGGGGUAGGGGAGGCAGGCAUGACUCAGUAAUGAAGCUAUCACCAGGAGUCCCCAGUGUUCCUUACCUGGACUAAUAAAUGGAUGACAAUAGGAGUUCCUUGCAAGUCUGUCUGCUCCUGUGUGUCUGCCCAGAGGACACCUCUAGAGAAUGAGAGAUUUGCAUAAAAUGGGGCCAAAGUCUCCUUUUGGGCCUUGCUGGACAAGGAGCUGAGGAAGAACUCUGGAGUCCUGGAAUCAGCUACUGGGCCUAGAUGAUCUCACCUGCUAGGAUGGGUCUGUAUGUUUGGGUAGCUUGAGCUGGAGGCAGGGAGGUCACAUUGAGGAUGCGCUCAAUGGCUCUCGAUUUGGCCUCUGCCACUCUUUGUUCUGUUGGGUAACUUACUUCCUGCAGUGGUUUUAAACAUGGCCACAGACUUCUUUAACACUCAUCUUAGUGAGAGGUGGUGGUGGUGGAUCUGUGUCUUCUUCUCUUGAAUCUAGGUGGCUUUGUGACUCCACUAAUACAGAACAGUGGCAUUGAUGCUGUCUGACUUUCCAGGCUGGGCUGGAAAAGGUUGUGCAACUUCUGCCUGAGUUUCUUGGGACACUGUCAUUGGGGGAAAACAGCCCCUAUGUAGGAAAUCCAAUUGCCCUGAGAGUGCCAUGCUGGAGAGGUGUUCCUGUUCAAGGCCAUGCCCCACUGAGCUCCCGGCCAGUGGCCAGGCUGGCCGUGGGGAAUGAACCCCGUGAGCCACUCAGUCUCGCCCAGCCUUCAGAUGACUGCAGUUCCAGCCCAUGUGUGACUGCAGCAGCUAAGUCACAGCUGCCUCGUCAAACUCUCCCCAAAUUUUUGACCUGCAAAAGUACAAACGCUAUAAAAUUAUUGUUUUAAGCUACUAAUUCAGGAGUAAUUUGUUAAUAGCAACCAAAACACACCCCUUCUUGGGUUUCAAUUUUUUUUCUGAACCAUGAAGGGUUAGACUAGAUAAUUUUUAAAACCAUACUUUGAAAGUUUUAAAUAGUAGAUGAACUUUUUUCAAUUGUUUUUAUUGUAGUAAAAUAUACAUAAAAUUUACCAUCUUAAACAUUUUUAAGUGUACGGUUCAGUGGUAUUAAAUAUAUUCACAAUGUUGUGUAACCAUCAUCACCAUCCAUCUCCGUAACUCAUUUCGUCCUGCAAAACUGAAACUCUGUACACAUUAAACAAUAACUCCGUCUUCCCCUUUCUCCUCCAGCCCCUGACAUCCACCAUUCUACUUUCUGCCUCUAUGAUUUAGACUACUCUAGGUAUCUCACAUAAGUGGAAUCAUACAAUGUUUGCCUUUUGGGCCUGGUUUAUUUCACUCAGCAUAAUGUUUUCAUGGUUCAUCCAGGUUGUAGUAUGUACCAGGAUUUCUUUCCUUUUUAAGACUGGAUAAUAUUUCAUUGUAUGUAUAUACAACAUUUUGCUUAUCCAUUCAUUUGUUGAUAGACACUUUUGUUUUUGCCAUGUUUUAGCUAUUGUGCAUUAAUGCUGGUGUGAACAGGAGUGUACAAAUGGAAAGAACCUGCUUCCAAUUAUGUCAAAUAGAUACCCAGAAGUGGAAUUGCUGAUUUACAUGGUAAUUUUAUUUUUAAUUUUUUGAGAAACCACCACACCGUUUUUCACAGUGGCUGUCCCAUUUUUGCAUUCCUGCCACCAGUGUACAAGGAUUCCAGUUCCCCACACCCUCAUCAACACUUGUUAUAUAUAUAUUUUUACAAUAGCCAUGAUAAUGGAUAUGAAGAGGUGUCCCAUUGUUGCUUUGAUUCACAUUUCUCUAAUGAUUAGUGAUGCUGGACAUCUUUUCAAAGCAUGUUUUUUUUAAAAAAGGAGUUCAAACAUCAUAAAAGGAUAACAGAAAUUAAACAGUUUUCUUCCCUACUCCUGAGUUCUUCUCACCACUGAGAGGUAACUAACUUUAACAUAUGACUGAUUCUUCCAGAAAUGCUUGUUGUGAUUACAACAUAAUUAUAUCUUUAUAAAAUUACACAUAGAAUUAUAUCAUAGUUAAUUUUUGUAAUUUCCUUUUUUUCCACUUACUGAUACAGAUUGGAGAUAUUUCCAUACCAGUAUACAUAGGUCUACUUCAUUCUUAAUAUCUGCAUAAUUCCAUGGCAUGGCUUGGUCAACGUUUACUUCUCUAGUCACUGUUGAUGGGUAUUUCAGUUGCUUCUAGGUUGUUUGGUUGGUAUUUUUUGCUACUGUAAUAAUACUGCAUUGACUAUUAUUGUAUACUUGUUUAUGCUUUUGUAGGUCAAAUUCCUAGAAGUACAGUUUCUGGGUCAAAGGAUAUGCAUUGACAAUUUUGAUAAUUAUUGCCAAAUUUGUCUUUUAAAGAGGUGGCACAUAUUUAUACCACCACAAUGAGGAAGCUAGUAUCCUGCUACCUUUAUUAUCUUUCAGGUUUUGUCAUCUGCUGGAAGAAAAUAAUAUUCUGUUUUCAAGUUUUCAUUUCUUUAAUUGUGAAGUUGAGCAUUUUUAUAUGCACUUUGAUGAUUUUUUAUACAAAAUUUCAAUCAUGCAAAAGUAGAGAGACUAUAUCAUGAACUCCCAUAAGUAGAUCACCCCAAGUCAACUGUCAUUAUGGGUUUACCACUUGUUUCAAGAUUGAUGAUUUUUAAUUUCUAUUUUUCAUUGAAUAGCUAAUUUAUAUCCUUUGCCAAUUCUAUAGGGCUGUUCAUAUUUUGUUUUUUUUUAAAUGGUUUGUCGGAGCUUUUCUUAUCAUAACAAAUUAACUUUUUGCCAUUAUAUGUUACAAAUAUUUUUCCUAUUAAACUUGUGUUUUGAUAUUAUUAAAGGUCUUUUUGUACAGAAGCAAUUUUACUUUUUAUAUCAAAUUUAUCAAUCUUUUAAAAAGAUUUGUAGUUUUGUGUUUUCAAUGAUCUUCUCUACUCCAGGAAUAUAAAAUAAAAUAAUAAAAUAAA